Molecule: long non-coding RNA, 830 nt
Organism: Cyprinus carpio carpio
Lineage: Eukaryota; Metazoa; Chordata; Actinopteri; Cypriniformes; Cyprinidae
Source: Ensembl
AUUUGUAGAUGAUAUAUACAUGAAUGUUAUGUUUCAAGCUCAUCAGAUGUAGUUUCUUUCAUGCUCUUUUUAAGGCAGAUAUGUUUAUAAUAUAUGUGUAGCAGAUGGUGAGGUGAAAACCUGAUCCACUGACUUGUGGCUCUGGAUGCAUUAUAGAGGACCAGAGGAAGAUGAAGGCAACUUUGAUGUCUCAUUCAGCCGUCCGUUUGAUGUCACUCCGUUAUCCAGGAGCAAAGAUGGAUUCGCUGACCUGCAAUCCAUUUCUGAGAACCGAGGCUUUAAGCAGUCGAGGUUGUGUGGAGGGUAAAGCCAAGGUUUUCUUUCCGCUUUUAUUGGAUGGCAGAUCCAAUUAAUCCCCGGGGAGAUGGUACGAAAGAAGCUUCAGCCGACAGAAAGAUGAAGCUUGUUUUACCUCCGAUCACGGCAAACUGAAACAUUUGUCUCCUGAGCACUCGUCCUCUUCUCUGGUGUGAAACCGCCUCUCUCGUGUUCUUCUGCAGAGCCGGUUUCAUCCCGGGUGACAGAAUCCGCUUCGACAGACGAAGGCUUUUAAACACUGCUGAAAAAUGACUCCGCACGGCAGGUGUUUGCUGUUUGUUUUCAAUUCCCAUUAGUCUCUUCAGGUAAGAGUCCUUCCUCCAGACGGCGUGGAGAGACUGCUGUAGAUGCUCAAGACUUCUGCAUAUGAUGUGCAACUCAAACUGGAGAGAAGGGUGAUUUCAACAUAAAUACAAAGCAGUUUAGUGCUUUCCUCAAAAUCAUAGCCACUUUAUUUAGAAUUGGAUAAAUUAUUUUUAUUUUAUUUUAUUUAUUUAUUUUUUUUUUGGGGG